This 464-nucleotide ribosomal RNA is filed under the name Gasteruption sp. RNAcentral describes it as "partial 16S rRNA". Lineage: Eukaryota; Metazoa; Arthropoda; Insecta; Hymenoptera; Gasteruptiidae. The record is from RNAcentral.
CUGCCCCCUGAAUUAUUAUUUAAAUGGCUGCAGUAAAUUGACUGUACAAAGGUAGCAUAAUAAAUAGGUUCUUAAUUAGGAUCUGGAAUGAAAGAUUAAAUAAAAUAUAAACUGUCUAAAAUUUAUUUUUUAAAAUUUAAAUUUUGAGUUAAAAUGUUCAAAUAUUUUUAAGGGACGAUAAGACCCUAUAGAUCUUUAUAAAAUUAAUAUAUAAUAAUAUUUAUUUUAAUGAUUUUAUAUAUUAAUUUUAUUUAACUGGGGUUGUUAAAAAAUUUAAUUAAAUUUUUUAUUUAAAUUAACAUUAAUUAAUGAUAAAUAGAAUUGAUAUAAUAUUAUUUAUGUAAAUUAAAAUAAGUUACCUUAGGGAUAACAGCGUAAUAAUUUUUUAGAGUUCAUAUUAAAAAAAUUGAUUGCGACCUCGAUGUUGAAUUAAAAUAAAAUAUAAAAGUAGAUUUUUAUUAUUU